UGGGGAAUAUUGGACAAUGGGCGAAAGCCUGAUCCAGCCAUGCCGCGUGUGUGAAGAAGGCCUUUUGGUUGUAAAGCACUUUAAGUGGGGAGGAAAAGCUUAUGGUUAAUACCCAUAAGCCCUGACGUUACCCACAGAAUAAGCACCGGCUAACUCUGUGCCAGCAGCCGCGGUAAUACAGAGGGUGCAAGCGUUAAUCGGAAUUACUGGGCGUAAAGCGCGCGUAGGUGGUUAUUUAAGUCAGAUGUGAAAGCCCCGGGCUUAACCUGGGAACUGCAUCUGAUACUGGAUAACUAGAGUAGGUGAGAGGGGAGUAGAAUUCCAGGUGUAGCGGUGAAAUGCGUAGAGAUCUGGAGGAAUACCGAUGGCGAAGGCAGCUCCCCGGCAUCAUACUGACACUGAGGUGCGAAAGCGUGGGUAGCAAACAGGAUUAGAUACCCUGGUAGUCCACGCCGUAAACGAUGUCUACCAGUCGUUGGGUCUUUUAAAGACUUAGUGACGCAGUUAACGCAAUAAGUAGACCGCCUGGGGAGUACGGCCGCAAGGUUA
This 549-nucleotide ribosomal RNA is filed under the name uncultured bacterium. Its description in RNAcentral is "bacterial SSU rRNA". It matches the Rfam family "Bacterial small subunit ribosomal RNA", at positions 355 to 896 of the family's 1533-position model. The record is from RNAcentral.